UUAAUAAAAUUUUUAGGUACUCAGACAACACUAAUAUUCAAGAGUUUGGGGUUCUCUGGUAGGCACGAACCAGCCAAAGCCGGUACAGACAGAGCCUGUGGCCUACCAAAGCAACGUAUAGUAAGAUAUUCAAGGGUGCGAGGUCUACCCAGAGGGCAGAGGACUCUGUAAUGAUCCUUCCGCUGGUUCACCAACGGAAA
Molecule: unclassified non-coding RNA, 200 nt
Filed under: uncultured fungus
Lineage: Eukaryota; Fungi
Description: sequence contains ITS1
Source: RNAcentral